GUGCUCACUUUGGCAGUACAUACACUAAAAUUGGAAUGAUACAGACAAGAUUAGCAUGGCUCCUGCACAAAGAUGACAUGCAAAUUCGUGAAUUGUUCCAUAUUUUU
This 107-nucleotide small nuclear RNA is filed under the name Spermophilus dauricus (Daurian ground squirrel). The record is from RNAcentral. Lineage: Eukaryota; Metazoa; Chordata; Mammalia; Rodentia; Sciuridae.